RNAcentral lists this ribosomal RNA (250 nucleotides) under Chrysomya megacephala (oriental latrine fly). RNAcentral describes it as "partial 16S ribosomal RNA". Lineage: Eukaryota; Metazoa; Arthropoda; Insecta; Diptera; Calliphoridae. The record is from RNAcentral.
UUCUACACUUUAUAAUAGAAUUUUAUUUUUUAGUCAAAAAGCUAAAAUAUAUUUAAAAGACGAGAAGACCCUAUAAAUCUUUAUAUUUAGAUUAUUAUAAUUUUAUAGAUUUCUUUUGUUAUAAUAGUUGAUAAUAUUUUAUUGGGGUGAUAUUAAAAUUUAAUAAACUUUUAAUUGUUUAAAUCAUUAAUUUAUGAAUAAUUGAUCCAUUAAUAGUGAUUAAAAAAAUAAGUUACCUUAGGGAUAACAG